GACGAACGCUGGCGGCGUGCUUAACACAUGCAAGUCGAACGGAAAGGCCCUGCUUGCAGGGUACUCGAGUGGCGAACGGGUGAGUAACACGUGGGUGAUCUGCCCUGCACUUCGGGAUAAGCCUGGGAAACUGGGUCUAAUACCGGAUAGGAGCCAUUUUUAGUGUGAUGGUUGGAAAGUUUUUUCGGUGUAGGAUGAGCUCGCGGCCUAUCAGCUUGUUGGUGGGGUAAUGGCCUACCCAGGCGGCGACGGGUAGCCGGCCUGAGAGGGUGGACGGCCAACCUGGGUCCUAGGGUAGGCCCCGGCUGCCACGGGGGGACAGAGGGGGGAAUAUUGCCCCAUGGGCGCAAGCCUGAUGCAGCGACGCCGCGUGGGGGAUGACGGCCUUCGGGUUGUAAACUCCUUUCGCUAGGGACGAAGCUUUUUGUGACGGUACCUAGAGAAGAAGCACCGGCUAACUACGUG
This 465-nucleotide ribosomal RNA is filed under the name uncultured bacterium. RNAcentral's name for it is "partial 16S ribosomal RNA". It matches the Rfam family "Bacterial small subunit ribosomal RNA", at positions 28 to 507 of the family's 1533-position model. The record is from RNAcentral.